UACGGAGGGUGCAAGCGUUAUCCGGAUUUACUGGGUUUAAAGGGUGCGUAGGUGGGUAGGUAAGUCAGUGGUGAAAUCUUCGAGCUUAACUCGGAAACUGCCAUUGAUACUAUCUGUCUUGAAUACUUUGGAGGUAAGCGGAAUAUGUCAUGUAGCGGUGAAAUGCUUAGAUAUGACAUAGAACACCAAUUGCGAAGGCAGCUUACUACACAGUCAUUGACACUGAGGCACGAAAGCGUGGGGAUCAAGCAGG
Molecule: ribosomal RNA, 253 nt
Filed under: uncultured bacterium
Lineage: Bacteria
Description: partial 16S ribosomal RNA
Rfam family: Bacterial small subunit ribosomal RNA
Source: RNAcentral